CACGUGCAGUGUGAUUCUGAAAAUGUGCAGAUGUCAGGUUUCCCUGCGCGGAUCCUGAAUAUAUUAUAUUUUAGCACAAGCUCAACGCAUUCCGGCACCUCCGCGGCCUCUGUAUCGCUCGCGCGACGUCACUGCAGGCAGGCAAUGAAGCCAAACGGGCCGCCUCUUCAUCAGCCUGACACACACACACAGAAAAGAAGAACAAAGAUGAGAAAAGAUUCGGUUUUUCACUACAGUGACAAAAAAGGGAUAUGAGUCACAAAGCACUGUAGUGCAUACCAGUAUGAAAAGACAGGCAGCGUGUGCACACAGUGUGAAAAGUGAUCUUCUUCCUCCAUUAGAUGGUAACUAUAGCCCAGUAGAGGAGGUGGCCUUCUUCAGCUUCUUAUUUCCCCUCAGCGUGGAUUGAUUACCUCGACUGCUACCGUGAUGCCACAUCACUGGUAACAGCCCGAGUAUCUAUGUAAACUAAUCUGUGUCUUAAUAUUUCAUUAUUCCCCUGGGAAUUAUAGGCCAAGAAAAAAAAAACUGAGGAAAAGUAAUAAAAAUAGAAAGAUGAAGAUGCUUAGGCACGCCUAGGUUUAGAGAGUGCAACUAGGAA
Molecule: long non-coding RNA, 601 nt
Organism: Puntigrus tetrazona (Sumatra barb)
Lineage: Eukaryota; Metazoa; Chordata; Actinopteri; Cypriniformes; Cyprinidae
Exons: 3
Source: RefSeq, a predicted model, not a curated record